GAUGAACGCUAGCGGCAGGCCUAACACAUGCAAGUCAGGGGUAACAUAGAAAAGCUUGCUUUUCUGAUGACGACCGGCGCACGGGUNCGUAACGCGUAUACAACCUACCUUUUAGCGGGGAAUAGCCCAGGGAAACUUGGAUUAAUGCCCCAUAGUAUAUAGACUUCUCCUGAAGUUUAUAUUAAACAUUUAUGGCUAUUGGAUGGGUAUGCGUCCUAUUAGUUAGUUGGUAAGGUAACGGCUUACCAAGGCAGCGAUAGGUAGGGGUCCUGAGAGGGAGAUCCCCACACUGGUACUGAGACACGGACCAGACUCCUACGGGAGGCAGCAGUGAGGAAUAUUGGACAAUGGGCGAGAGCCUGAUCCAGCCAUGCCGCGUGCAGGAAGACUGCCCUAUGGGUUGUUAAACUGCUUUUACUAGAGGAAGAACCACCCCCACCGUGUGGGGGUUUGGACGGUACUCUGCGAAUAAGGAUCGGCUAACUCCGUG
RNAcentral lists this ribosomal RNA (490 nucleotides) under uncultured bacterium. Its description in RNAcentral is "bacterial SSU rRNA". It matches the Rfam family "Bacterial small subunit ribosomal RNA", at positions 28 to 507 of the family's 1533-position model. The record is from RNAcentral.